Molecule: transfer RNA, 107 nt
Filed under: Orbilia oligospora ATCC 24927
Lineage: Eukaryota; Fungi; Ascomycota; Orbiliomycetes; Orbiliales; Orbiliaceae
Description: Arthrobotrys oligospora ATCC 24927 tRNA
Rfam family: tRNA
About the family: Transfer RNA (tRNA) molecules are approximately 80 nucleotides in length.
Source: Rfam by way of RNAcentral
UCUCAGAUGGUCCAGUGGUCAAGAUUUCCGCCUGUCAUCAUAAAUUUGGCAUCCUACCUGCCAAAGAUUGCUCGCGGACGACCGGGGUUCGAUUCCCCGUCUGAGAG